Long non-coding RNA from Meriones unguiculatus (Mongolian gerbil), 3551 nucleotides. RefSeq lists it as uncharacterized. The record is from RefSeq and is a predicted model, not a curated record. The transcript has 3 exons. Lineage: Eukaryota; Metazoa; Chordata; Mammalia; Rodentia; Muridae.
GCAUCAUCAAAUACUCAGAAACCUUACUAGAAUGUCAUGUAUAUGUGCAUGGAAAUGAGAGUGGGAGGACUCGCCUGCCAGAGGGAAUGUGGCUUUGGCAGCUUUUUUCCAACUGUUAAAAUCUGGGCUCCACUGUCAUCACUUACAUCUUCCAUGAGCUAACGGAUUGGAGUCAUAAUGAAAGUAGAUGAAAAACUGCUGAAAAUGAACCAAGCAGAGGUUUGGCCUCUUCUGUUAGAACCAGAGAAACUAGAAGAUCUUGGAUCUUGCUUUGAAAACUAGCCUUGAUCUUGCUUCUAAGAUUUGAGAUCCAUCUUGUGCUUCAAAGGGAAGAAGAAAGAGGCAGAGUCGGUGUUACUGGGUGAAGACUACAGGAGAUCCUGUUACAGUCAGAAGUGUCUCGAGGAGUUUCUGGGACUCAUGUGUAUGAGAACUGUUUUCCGAGUCACCUUACUGAAACCUUUGGAAAACUCCCACUGUUCGCCUAUGUGUACUCACUUCCUGCUGCCGAGACAGGGACUGAGCUGAACCACACUGGGGUAUAUAAAGCUGCAAUUCCUUUCAGAAAAUAUGAGCCAGUAGUUAAAGAAGUUGAAAUUCACCUCCCACCCUGUAGCUCUACUCUAGGUUACCCCAAAAGCAAGUCUCAGAAUAAUUCUGCCCCCAAUACAGAUAGCUGUUAACAAGCAAGCAAAGCCUUAAAGCACAAGGAGAUUAUUUGGGUAGGGAGAACUCAAAGAUACCAAGAAAAGAUAUGAACAUAUGUUGGUGGUAACUGACAUAACUUAUUUAAACAUAUUUAUCCAUAUACUAUUGGUAUUUCAAUCAGAUACUUAUAGAAUAUGGGAUCUAUUCUUUUUGCUUUUAAAUUCCCCAUGUAAUCUACUCAUCCAAAGUAACAGAGAAAAAGAAAUGAGUCUGAUCCCUGAGUGUAUACCAAUGAGACUGAGGAGCAUAGAGACAACUUUUUGUUCAGUGAAACUGUGUAAGCAUUACAAAUGUAUGUACAUUUUGUGUCUCCUAAACCAAACGUUUCCAUCCCAGGUGUAUAAGGUUUUUACCAGGAAGCUCCACACUAAGAUGCCUUCGAGGAGGAACAGCAGUAAUUGUGAGUGAGGCAAGGUUCAUGCAUCCAGCUGCAGGCACCAGAAAGAUACUGAUCUAGUAUACAGGACCAGGUGUCUGGAAUCUUCACAGUACAAUAACAGGCCAAAACUGGGUGAACAAGCACUGGGGUCUGCCCAGCCAUGGAUGAAAAAUGAAAUGAUUUGACAAGGGGGCUCCUAGGAAAGCAGCCGAUCUCUCAAAUCCAGGAAGAUGGGCAGCAGGGGAGAAAAUAUCUGAGACAUAGCCCAUCGUGGGGCUGUAACAACUGAGGUGACACUUUGAAAGCGAUUGGGACUCCAGCCAUGAGUAACCACAGAGAAUGAUAUGAAUAAAAGCAGCAGGUUCUGAGGAGACUCAGCCACUCUCACAAUAGAGAGACCGAGAGGAAAUUUCAGGUGUCAGAAAUCAGACUCAAGUUAGAGACACAUGUAUAAUAUCUGAAGGUUAAGCCCAGAAUUUAAAGGCUAAGCCUCUAUAAAUGUUCCUUCUCAAAGUCAGAAGUAGGAGUAUUUCCAUCAGCAUUUUGAGGAAAUUAAUUUCAAGUGACUUGAACAGUAAAGGAAUUACUUAGUCACAAAAUGGGAACUCAGUAGAGCAGGCCAUGGCUAGCUUCAUCCAGAUGCGCCAACUCUGCUUUUCAGUGACUGCUUCGACUCUGCUUCAGGACAGCUGAGGGAGGAAGUCAUCUGCAGGCUGAUAGCAACUGACACUCACUGUGCUGAUCUUGGAUGUGGAUAUAUCUGCACAUUAGGGUCACGAGUAUAGGUGCAUGCCUGCUGCUUUUCCAACUGAGAUCUGGAGUGUAUUUCACUUCCCUUGAAAUGGCCGUGGCAUUUAUCUUGACCCACACGAUGCAAUGAAGUGAUCCUAUUUUAUCCCAGAAUUAGCCUGGGCCUCUACAGUAUCAUAUUGAAAGGAAGCUAAGCAGGGCAAUUGGAACCAUAUGGAGAAAAUGGGAUGCAAUGAGAAGCCCAAGACACCAAACUUGGCUGAAUCCUUCCUAAAUGUCGCAUGUGAAGCCUGCCACCAGAUGGAUAGAACCAAGGGAAAGGGAAAAGAACAGCCUGGCCAAGCUUUGCUGGACUCCACCCAGAAGAAUCAUGAAAACAAAUGAUCAAUUGUUUUUAGUCAUUGAGCUUCUUCUUUUUUUUUUUAUUUAAAAGCAAUAACAAUGUUUAUUGAACAUGUUCUGUUACCAUUUAUUACAUUGUAUUUAUUGAGCUCCUUAUGUAUUUAUGUACAUUAUCGUAUUUAUUGAGCUCCUUGUUUAGACUUCACAACCCCAGUGAGAGGUGUUACUGCUGGGGCAGGAAACCUACGGACUCAGGUGAGUUCAGCUUGUCUGCGGUUAAGGCUGGAACGCAGCCCUCAGUCACCGCUGAUCCUGCAGACUCAUGCUGUGUGUGCACUUGAAACCAAAUGACUUGCAAAGCAGUAACUCAAAAGACAACAAUAAGAUAUUAGCCCUGUGUCAGAUAUAGGGUUGGUAAAGAUCCUUUCCCAGUCUGUAGGUAGUCAUUUUGUUCUGACAACAGUGUCCCUUGCUUUACAGAGCUUUUCAAUUUCAUGAGGUCCAGUUUAUAGAGUGUUACUCUUAGAGCCUGUGCUGUUGGUGUUCUGUUCAGGAAGUUGUCUCCUGUGCCAGUGAGUUCAAGGCUCUUCCCCACUUUUUCUUCUAACAGGUUUAGUGUGUCUGGUUUUAUAUUGAGGUCUUUGAUCCACUUGGACUUUAGUUUUGUGCAGGGUGAUAAGUAUGGAUCUAUUUGCAUUUUUCUACAUUAAAAAAAAAGACAACAAACGAACAAAAACACCCUACACUCUUUCAUAAAGAUUUUAGAGUUGCCCUGGCAAAUGAUUGUUUUACAAUUUUAUUUCUAUUUUUCUGCCUGCCAAGUUACCCCCGUCCUCCCCACUUCUUUUCAUUUUGACCGCAUCUGCUUCUCUGCUCCUGAGACUUGCAGGAGGCCCUGGCACAUCCUCCUGGCUUUUAGUGAACUCUACUCUCUGCUGCUUCUCAGUGUAAGAAUUAACGCUUGCCCAACUGCUCAAUACUUUUUAUUUUCUGUUCUAGACAUCAGCUAUCUGAGCCUUUGUUCUCCAGUGAGUUUGUUCUGUUUUCACUCUCUAAUUCUACUCUCAUCUUUUCUCUAUUAAUACUAUGGCUUUUGGUAGAGACAAGGGGACACUGCUGCAUUACAGGGUUUAUGAUGAAGCCAUCCCUCUCUCUCCCAUCCACAACUCAUCCAUCCAUUUUUGCAAAGGGGAUGUGAGUUGAAGAGAGCCAGGGAGGUCUAGUGGUCGUCAUUGAGCUACUUAUACAGCAACAGAAAGUCUAACUAUAUGUGAUGUUGACAGUAUAUAUCCCAUAGCUAUAUAAAGAAGAAAGGUGUGUGAAUCACAAAUGCCUGCAAUCAACACUCAAUAUUAAAUAUUAUUGUAAUUGA